Molecule: long non-coding RNA, 898 nt
Organism: Oncorhynchus nerka (sockeye salmon)
Lineage: Eukaryota; Metazoa; Chordata; Actinopteri; Salmoniformes; Salmonidae
Exons: 2
Source: RefSeq, a predicted model, not a curated record
ACCUUGUCUUUUAUAUGAUUCCCAGAACGUUGUAUUUUAUAUGAUUCCCAGAACGUUGUAUUUGAUUCCCAGAACGUUGUAUUUGAUUCCCAGAACGUUGUAUUUGAUUCCCAGAACGUUGUAUUUGAUUCCCAGAACGUUGUAUUUGAUUCCCAGCAGGUUGUAUUUGAUUCCCAGAACGUUGUAUUUGAUUCCCAGCAGGUUGUAUUUGAUUCCCAGCAGGUUAACACGUUGUCUUGUAUAUGAUUCCCAGAACGUUGUAUUUGAUUCCCAGAACGUUGUAUUUGAUUCCCAGCAGUGAAAACAGUAAAGAGGAUUUAUUGUUUUGAUAAUCCUAGGUGAAUGUUAGCCUGGGUACCAGGCCUGUUUGUGCUGUCGUUCCACUCCUUGCCUCUGCUUGUCAAAUGCCAAGGAGUGGAAUCACAGCUAAUAGCAUGUCUGGUAGCCAGGCUAGGUAAAGCCAAUGUCACAGUGACAUCUCAUUGUCAUGUAUAGAGGCACAGAUUCCUGCAGAACUCAUGAUGAUGAGUAUGUCACUAUUAUACAUGGUGAAAUGACAUGUUCUGUGUCUUCAUCUCCGAUACUUAUUUAAAGUGUAUUUAUUUAUUUUUUUGUCUCUGAUUUUAACGUUUAUAUGUUGAAAGUGUGAAAGAUAAUGGAGGGAACGCGGUAUACAUGCAACCAAACAUAAACCGUCUGUACAUAUCUAUAUAUAUAUAUACUGGAUGGCUGGUUUAAAAUACAUGUAUUAAAUCUCAUGGGAUUGUUUGUGGAUGAGUCUGAGAAUAUGUAACUCUUCCAUCUAAUACACACGAUUGUGUUAUUUGAUUACUAUAUCCAAAAUACCUGUUAUAAUCAUGCUGUAUUACCUCAAUAAAGCACAACUCUAACUUGGAAA